GGGGAAUCUGCAUGCACAGUGUGAACGCUAUAGCUACGUGGAAACCGUCCCGUUGACUUCUUAUCCUUAGGAUUAUUCUUCUCGUGAAGAAUAUCCAAGCUUUUGCGGGCACGGUCCAGGAAGCGCAGCACCUGCUCCAUCAGGGCACGGUACUAAAGCGUUAAAAAUGGCAGUGGAAUAUUAUUCGGGGACAGACGGUGAAGUAUUCAAGGAAUGGGGAUAAGGUAAUCUGGUCGAGGACAUCAACAAUUUCCUCUUGUAAAUCAGGAAAACAUUGUCGACUACUCGUACGUGAGGUAUUUGAGUGCUCGCUAAAACUUCCUGAAGUCUUCGGUUCUCUUCUAUCAACGAUCGGUAUUGCUGAAACAAAAAACAAAAAUGACGAAAUCAGUUAACGUUUAACGAGGAAAGUGUCCAGCUCUCGAACGACUUUCCUGAACGUAAUAAUCGUUUCAAAAGAAGAAAAAAGCGACGUGGUACGACGUAUAUACACGCGUUAAUACAAGGUUUCACCUUGCGUAGGAGAUUUUCACACGGUGGAGUGAACACGAUUCGACGUUAGCAGAGCGUACGCCUGUUUAUUGUACAGACAUUGCUUUAUCAAUAGCGGUAUAUUUUAUUUAAAAUAAUACAUUGCUCUAAUCAUCGUUAAACAUAAAGGAAACGUUAAAUAUUUGUAUCAUUAAUUACCUUAAACUUUAUGUCGAUUUUCCAAUUAAUAAUCUAGCGCCUUCAUUUUAUAAAAUAAUAUUCCAGGUAUAAUAUUGCAUAAGUCUAUGAAAUACAAAUGUAUACAACCGUAUAAUAAAUAAUAAAAGAUAAAUAAAUUAAUGAAGAGAUA
Molecule: long non-coding RNA, 841 nt
Organism: Bombus huntii
Lineage: Eukaryota; Metazoa; Arthropoda; Insecta; Hymenoptera; Apidae
Exons: 4
Source: RefSeq, a predicted model, not a curated record